GGGUUCAUACGUUGGUCGGGCUUUUUGGUCUGUACUAGCGUAAUGGAUUCCUACCUUCUGAAUAACCGGCAUGUCAUUAAUUUGGUGUCGUGGGGAAUCAGGACUGUUACUUUGAAAAAAUUAGAGUGUUUAAAGCAGGCUUACGCUUGAAUACAUUAGCAUGGAAUAAUGAAAUAGGACGUUUGAUUCUAUUUUGUUGGUUUCUAGGAUUGACGUA
This 217-nucleotide ribosomal RNA is filed under the name Campeiostachys nutans. RNAcentral's name for it is "Elymus nutans partial small subunit ribosomal RNA". The stretch from base 47 to 217 matches the Rfam family "Eukaryotic small subunit ribosomal RNA", at positions 692 to 864 of the family's 1831-position model. Lineage: Eukaryota; Viridiplantae; Streptophyta; Magnoliopsida; Poales; Poaceae. The record is from RNAcentral.